UACGGAAGGUCCUGGCGUUAUCCGGAUUUAUUGGGUUUAAAGGGAGCGCAGGCCGGCGAUUAAGAGUGACGUGAAAUGCCGCGGCUCAACCGUGGAAGUGCGUCGCGAACUGGUUGUCUUGAGUGGGAACGACGUAGGCGGAAUUCGUGGUGUAGCGGUGAAAUGCUUAGAUAUCACGAAGAACCCCGAUUGCGAAGGCAGCCUACGAGGCCCUUACUGACGCUAAAGCUCGAAGGUGCGGGUAUCGAAC
This 250-nucleotide ribosomal RNA is filed under the name uncultured prokaryote. RNAcentral's name for it is "partial 16S ribosomal RNA". It matches the Rfam family "Bacterial small subunit ribosomal RNA", at positions 524 to 773 of the family's 1533-position model. The record is from RNAcentral.